UACGGAGGGGGCUAGCGUUGUUCGGAAUUACUGGGCGUAAAGCGCACGUAGGCGGCUUUCUAAGUCAGGGGUGAAAUCCUGGAGCUCAACUCCAGAACUGCCUUUGAUACUGGGAAGCUCGAGUCCGGGAGAGGUGAGUGGAACUCCGAGUGUAGAGGUGAAAUUCGUAGAUAUUCGGAAGAACACCAGUGGCGAAGGCGGCUCACUGGCCCGGUACUGACGCUGAGGUGCGAAAGCGUGGGGAGCAAACAGG
RNAcentral lists this ribosomal RNA (253 nucleotides) under uncultured bacterium. RNAcentral's name for it is "partial 16S ribosomal RNA". It matches the Rfam family "Bacterial small subunit ribosomal RNA", at positions 524 to 776 of the family's 1533-position model. The record is from RNAcentral.